This 430-nucleotide ribosomal RNA is filed under the name bacterium. RNAcentral's name for it is "partial 16S ribosomal RNA". It matches the Rfam family "Bacterial small subunit ribosomal RNA", at positions 355 to 776 of the family's 1533-position model. The record is from RNAcentral.
UGGGGAAUAUUGGACAAUGGGCGCAAGCCUGAUCCAGCCAUGCCGCGUGUGUGAAGAAGGCCUUUCGGUUGUAAAGCACUUUAAGCGAGGAGGAGGCUACUGAGAUUAAUACUCUUGGAUAGUGGACGUUACUCGCAGAAUAAGCACCGGCUAACUCUGUGCCAGCAGCCGCGGUAAUACAGAGGGUGCGAGCGUUAAUCGGAUUUACUGGGCGUAAAGCGUGCGUAGGCGGCUUCUUAAGUCGGAUGUGAAAUCCCUGAGCUUAACUUAGGAAUUGCAUUCGAUACUGGGAAGCUAGAGUAUGGGAGAGGAUGGUAGAAUUCCAGGUGUAGCGGUGAAAUGCGUAGAGAUCUGGAGGAAUACCGAUGGCGAAGGCAGCCAUCUGGCCUAAUACUGACGCUGAGGUACGAAAGCAUGGGGAGCAAACAGG